GGCUUCGUAGUGUAAUGGUCAGCACAUUCGACUCGCAUUCGAGGGGUCCGAGGUUCGAGUUCCGUUGAGGUCA
This 73-nucleotide transfer RNA is filed under the name Stegodyphus mimosarum. It matches the Rfam family "tRNA". From Rfam's summary of the family: Transfer RNA (tRNA) molecules are approximately 80 nucleotides in length. Their secondary structure includes four short double-helical elements and three loops (D, anti-codon, and T loops). The record is from Rfam by way of RNAcentral. Lineage: Eukaryota; Metazoa; Arthropoda; Arachnida; Araneae; Eresidae.